This is a non-coding RNA of Phrynosoma platyrhinos (Desert horned lizard), 71 nucleotides long. Lineage: Eukaryota; Metazoa; Chordata; Lepidosauria; Squamata; Phrynosomatidae. The record is from the annotation of a GenBank genome assembly.
GCCAGCAUGGUGUAGUGGUUUGAGCAUUGGACUGGGAUUCUGAAGACCAGGGUUCAAAUCCCUGGUUGGCC